Molecule: ribosomal RNA, 497 nt
Filed under: uncultured bacterium
Lineage: Bacteria
Description: partial 16S ribosomal RNA
Rfam family: Bacterial small subunit ribosomal RNA
Source: RNAcentral
GACGAACGCUGGCGGCGUGCCUAAUACAUGCAAGUAGAACGCUGAAGAGAGGAGCUUGCUCUUCUUGGAUGAGUUGCGAACGGGUGAGUAACGCGUAGGUAACCUGCCUUGUAGCGGGGGAUAACUAUUGGAAACGAUAGCUAAUACCGCAUAACAAUGGAUGACACAUGUCAUUUAUUUGAAAGGGGCAAUUGCUCCACUACAAGAUGGACCUGCGUUGUAUUAGCUAGUAGGUGAGGUAAUGGCUCACCUAGGCGACGAUACAUAGCCGACCUGAGAGGGUGAUCGGCCACACUGGGACUGAGACACGGCCCAGACUCCUACGGGAGGCAGCAGUAGGGAAGCUUCGGCAAUGGGGGCAACCCUGACCGAGCAACGCCGCGGGAGUGAAGAAGGUUGUCGGAUCGUAAAGUUCUGUUGUAAGUCAAGAACGGGUGUGAGAGUGGAAAGUUCACACUGUGACGGUAGCUUACCAGAAAGGGACGGCUAACUACGUG